CAGUUUGAGAGAAACGAUCUAUGGCUUCUACUCGCAAUCUUUAUGCAAGAAUUGGUGAGGGACAAUCAACCACGAGGCCACCACUCUUUGAUGGCACAAAUUACACCUAUUUGAAGGAGCGGAUGAGAAUCUUCAUCCAAUCCAACAACUUUCUAUAGUGGCAAAUCAUCAAAAAUGGUGAAUAAUUGCCCACUAAGAAAGUCGAGGAUAAAGUCGUCCUAAAGACGGAGAACGAAUAUGAUGCGGAGGACAUCAAAAAGGUGGAGAACAAUGCUAAGGCCAUCAACAUGCUGUACUGUUCGGUAAACCCCGAUGAUUAUCGGAAGAUUUCAUGUUGCGGCACGGCCAAGCAAAUGUGGGAGAAGCUAGAGGUCACCUACGAAGGUACGGACCAAGUCUGAGAGGCUAAAAUUGAUUUUCUAACCCAUGAAUAUGAAUUAUUUCGUAUGAAGGAGAACGAGAAAAUCAACGACAUGUUUGAACGAUUUUCAAAAAUUGUCAAUGACCUCCACGCACUCAAGAAGACGUACACGGACAAGGAGCUUGUACGAAAAAUCCUGCGGAGCCUCACUCCGGAGUGGCGUUCCAAAGCCGAUGCCAUUCAAUCGACGAAAUGUUUGAGCGAUUUUCAAAAAUCGUCAACGACCUCCACGCACUCAAGAAGACAUACACGGACAAGGAGCUUGUACGAAAAAUCCUGCGGAGCCUCACCCCGGAGUGGCGUUUUAAAGCCGAUGUCAUUCAAGAGUCAAUUGGCAUCACCAACGUCACUAUAGACGGACUCCGGGGGAAUCUAAAGACNNN
RNAcentral lists this long non-coding RNA (804 nucleotides) under Nicotiana benthamiana. RNAcentral describes it as "long non-coding RNA (NBEN_LNC010732)". The record is from RNAcentral. Lineage: Eukaryota; Viridiplantae; Streptophyta; Magnoliopsida; Solanales; Solanaceae.